Molecule: transfer RNA, 77 nt
Filed under: Bradyrhizobium uaiense
Lineage: Bacteria; Pseudomonadati; Pseudomonadota; Alphaproteobacteria; Hyphomicrobiales; Nitrobacteraceae
Description: tRNA-Arg
Source: RNAcentral
GCGGUGGACAGCAGGGUUGGUUGGCGUUUGCCCUCCGAAGGCAAAGGUCACACGUUCGAAUCGUGUCGGGUGCGCCA